This 321-nucleotide RNase P RNA is filed under the name Actinomycetota bacterium. RNAcentral's name for it is "Actinobacteria bacterium RNase P RNA component class A". It matches the Rfam family "Bacterial RNase P class A". Rfam says of the family: Ribonuclease P (RNase P) is a ubiquitous endoribonuclease, found in archaea, bacteria and eukarya as well as chloroplasts and mitochondria. Lineage: Bacteria; Bacillati; Actinomycetota. The record is from RNAcentral.
GCAGGCCGGGUGACCGCGGGCUUCACGGCUCGAGGAAAGUCCGGACACCGAAGGGCAGGACGCUGGGGCGACCUAGGCGGCGAAAGCCGACGGAAAGUGGCACAGAAAGGAGACCGCCUGCAGCGAUUCUCCGGAGACGCUGAAGGUAAGGGUGAAAAGGUGGGGUAAGAGCCCACCAGCGUCGUGGCGACACGGCGGCUAGCCAAACCCCGUCCGGUGCAAGGCAAACAGGUCCCGCCAUCAGGCGGCCCGCCGAGGGACCGGGUUGCUGCACAGAGGGAUGGUCACCGCAAACAGAAUCCGGCUUACGGGCCUGCUAAC